AUUGAACGCUGGCGGCAGGCCUAACACAUGCAAGUCGAACGAGUGGCGGACGUGUGAGUAAUGUCUGGGAAACUGCCCGUUGGAGGGGGAUAACUACUGGAAACGGUAGCUAAUACCGCAUACCAUCGGAUGUGCCCAGAUGGGAUUAGCUAUUAGGUGGGGUAACGGCUCACCUAGGCGACGAUCCCUAGCUGGUCUGAGAGGAUGACCGGCAAAACUGGAACGGGGAAACGGUCCAGACUCCUACGGGAGGCAGAAGUGGGGAAUAUUGCACAAGGGGCGCAAGCCGGAUGCAGCCAUGCCGCGUGUAUGAAGAAGGUCUUCGGGUUGUAAAGUACGUUCAGCGAGGAGGCGGUACUCGCAGAAGAAGCAACGGCUAACUCCGUGCCAGCAGCCGCGGUAAUAC
This 406-nucleotide ribosomal RNA is filed under the name uncultured bacterium. RNAcentral describes it as "partial 16S ribosomal RNA". It matches the Rfam family "Bacterial small subunit ribosomal RNA", at positions 30 to 526 of the family's 1533-position model. The record is from RNAcentral.